This 506-nucleotide ribosomal RNA is filed under the name uncultured bacterium. RNAcentral describes it as "bacterial SSU rRNA". It matches the Rfam family "Bacterial small subunit ribosomal RNA", at positions 24 to 518 of the family's 1533-position model. The record is from RNAcentral.
UCAGGAUGAACGCUAGCUACAGGCUUAACACAUGCAAGUCGAGGGGUAACAUGAUAGAAGCUUGCUUUAUUGAUGACGACCGGCGCACGGGUGAGUAACGCGUAUCCAACCUUCCCUAUACUAGAGGAUAGCCCGGCGAAAGUCGGAUUAAUACUCUAUGUUGUUCGAUGCGGACAUCUAAAUUGAACCAAAGGUUUACCGGUAUAGGAUGGGGGAUGCGUCUGAUUAGGUUGUUGGCGGGGUAACGGCCCACCAAGCCAGCGAUCAGUAGGGGUUCAGAGAGGAAGGUCCCCCACAUUGGUACUGAGACACGGACCAAACUCCUACGGGAGGCAGCAGUGAGGAAUAUUGGUCAAUGGGCGAGAGCCUGAACCAGCCAAGUAGCCGUGCAGGAUGACGGCCCUAUGGGUUGUAAACUGCUUUUGCCGGGGAAUAAAGUGCAGUACGUGUACUGUUUUGUAUGUACCCGGAGAAUAAGGACCGGCUAAUUCCGUGCCAGCCGCAGC